Molecule: ribosomal RNA, 484 nt
Filed under: uncultured bacterium
Lineage: Bacteria
Description: partial 16S ribosomal RNA
Rfam family: Bacterial small subunit ribosomal RNA
Source: RNAcentral
AUUGAACGCUGGCGGCAGGCCUAACACAUGCAAGUCGAGCGGAUGAAGGGAGCUUGCUCCUGGAUUCAGCGGCGGACGGGUGAGUAAUGCCUAGGAAUCUGCCUGGUAGUGGGGGAUAACGUCCGGAAACGGGCGCUAAUACCGCAUACAUCCUGAGGGAGAAAGUGGGGGAUCUUCGGACCUCACGCUAUUAGAUGAGCCUAGGUCGGAUUAGCUAGUUGGUGGGGUAAAGGCCUACCAAGGCGACGAUCCGUAACUGGUCUGAGAGGAUGAUCAGUCACACUGGAACUGAGACACGGUCCAGACUCCUACGGGAGGCAGCAGUGGGGAAUAUUGGACAAUGGGCGAAAGCCUGAUCCAGCCAUGCCGCGUGUGUGAAGAAGGUCUUCGGAUUGUAAAGCACUUUAAGUUGGGAGGAAGGGCAGUAAGUUAAUACCUUGCUGUUUUGACGUUACCAACAGAAUAAGCACCGGCUAACUUCGUG